Molecule: long non-coding RNA, 5899 nt
Filed under: Zea mays
Lineage: Eukaryota; Viridiplantae; Streptophyta; Magnoliopsida; Poales; Poaceae
Description: long non-coding RNA (ZMAY_LNC004708)
Source: RNAcentral
UCGGCCUUCUUAUAUAAGUAUAUCCCUUCUAUAGUUUCUUUAAUGAGGAUUGUCACUUAAGCUAGCAUGUAUUUCAAAUUUACAAAUAUUCUAUAACAUUUUAAAAUGUAAUUCUUUUGAAACACUUUCUUUUGUAAUCACUCCGAUGAGGUAUAAUAAAAUCUUGAUAAACUUGUAAUCAUUUUAUAAUAAAGAGUUUAUUUCCGCUGCAAGUGUUUGUAUGUGAGUUAUGUUUACUUAAUCCUGCGAUCUUGGCGGUAAGUGGUUUAUCCGGGGUCCUUGGGACACUCGGACAGAUCCUGUUAAGUUAUUUGGUGCAUAUGCAUAGCUGUUUGAGGUCCUUGGGAUAAGGACAGGUGCAUGUGGGCCUAAUAACUUGGGAGGUUCUGCCACACUCUUGUUAUAAGCUUCGUCAUCUGAAAGGAAGUUACCCUGAAGGUAAGAGAUGAUCUCGGUUCUCCAGUCUUCACUAUAAACAGGAGAUAUAUUGAGGACUGCUCUUUCAAGGAGUUCAACCGAGGGUGCUUUUAUUGUUUCAAAAAAUACUUCCGAAGGUAAGGGCAGCCCCUGUGAUGCUGACUUGGCUAGCAAAUCAGCAUGUUCAUUUUCUCCUCGAGGAAUAUUUUUUACAGAAAACCCUUCAAAGGAAGCUUCAAUCCUUCGGACCGUAUCUAAAUACUUCUCAAGCUUCGGGUCUCUUGCCUUACAACUCUUGUCAAUAUGACCAGAGAUAACCUGGGAAUCAGUUUUAAGAACCGCCCUUCUGAUUCCCAUUGCCUUUAACUUUCGAAGACCCAAAAGUAAAGCUUCGUACUCAGCAAUGUUAUUUGUGCAGCUAAAAUCGAGUCUUGCUGCGUAACAAGUUUUAACUUUGGAGGGUGCGACCAACACAGCGGCUGCUCCUGCCCCGAAGGUUCCCCAAGAACCAUAGCAGAAUAUUGUCCAUGCUUCGACAUCUUUACUCGCUUCUUCUUCCUGAGCCCCUGGCGUCCAGUCAGCAAUGAAGUCAGCUAGCGCCUGGGACUGAAUCGAAGAUCUGUGCACAUAAUCAAUGCAGAAUUCAUUGAGUUCCGCAGCCCACUUUCCAACCCUUCCAGUAGCUUCUCUAUUUCUCAUAAUGUCCUUCAAUGGUUGUGAAGAAGGGACAAUUAUAUUGUAUGCUUGAAAAUAAUGCCGAAGCUUUCUGGAAGCCAUCAAAACAACAUACAACACCUUCUCCAAUUCUGUAUAAUUUUUCUUUGAUAAACUAAGAACUUCAGAUACAAAGUAUAUUGGAGCUUGCUUUUUGACUUGCCCUUCAAGCUUUUCUUGGACAAGUGCCGCACUUACCGCUGAGUGCGAGGCUGCCACAUAUAACAACAGAGAAGCCCCUGGCGUUGGUGGAGUUAACGUCGUUAAGUCUAUCAAAUAUUGCUUCAGCUCUUCGAAGGCUCUCUGCUGAACUGGACCCCAUUGAAAAACUUCGGACGAUUUCAGCACUUCGAAGAAUGGUAAAUUUCUCUCUGCUGAUCUAGAUAUGAAUUUGUUGAGAGAUGCCAAUCUUCCUGUCAAUCGUUGAGCCCCCUUCUUUGUGCUUGGUGGUUCCAUUCGAAGAAUAGCUUCGAUUUUAUUUGGAUUAGCCUCAAUCCCUUUUGUUGAAACUAGGCAACCAAGAAAUUUCCCCUUCUUUACUCCGAAAACACACUUUUCUGGAUUCAAUUUUAGAUCGGCCUAUCUAAAAUUAGCGAAAGUCUCCUACAGAUCAGCAAUGUGAUUUUCUUACUUCGUGCUUUUACAAUGAUAUCAUCAACAUAAGUUAGCACAUUUCUGCCUAUCUGAGAAUGAAGAACCUUUGCUGUCAUUCUGCUGAAGCUUCCUCCAGCAUUUUGAGCCCCUCAGGCAUCCGAAGGUAACAAUAUGUUCCGCUAGGGGUUAUGAAGCUGGUUUUUGGCUCAUCCUCCUUCUUCAUCCAAAUCUGAUGAUAGCCUGAAUAACAGUCCAAGAGACUCAUAAGUUCUGAUGAAGCUGUUGCAUCAACUAGGGAGUCUAUCCUUGGCAAUGGGAACUCAUCCUUCGGACAAGCCUCGUUGAGAUCAGUGAAAUCAAUACACAUCCUCCAUUUGUCGUUGGCCUUUUUUACCAUAACAGUGUUAGCCAGUCAUUCUGGAUAUUUCACUUCUCUGAUGACUCCGGCACUGAGGAGUCUUUUUACUUCAUUUCGAGCACCUUCGGUCUUGUCAUCAGACAUCUUCCGAAGCCUCUGCUUUCUGGGCCUAAAGGAUGGAUCAACAUUGAGCGAGUGUUCAAUAACAUCCCUGUUGACGCCACAAAGAUCGUUAGCCGACCAUGCAAAGACAUCUUUAUUGUUGAACAAGAAUCUUAUCAGGGUUUUCUCUUGUUCCUGAGACAAUUGAGAUCCCAGCAGCACCUUCUGCUCUGCGAUAUCUUCGCAUAAAAGCAUGGGUUUCGGCUGAUCGGCCGAAGCAGCCUUCUCCCUUCUAUGCUUGUACUGCUCACAAGCUUCGGCUUCAUCUAUAUUGUGGAUUGCCUUUGAAUCAGUCCAAUUCCCCUCGGCCUUUCUGGCAGCUUCCUGACUCCCAUGAAUAGCAAUAGGUCCCUGAUCCGAAGGUAUCUUUAUGCAAAGAUAUGCUGGAUGAAGAAUUGCUUCGAAAUCAUUGAGUGUUCCGCGACCAAUGAUAGCAUUGUAAGGAUACUCCAUGUCAACAAUGUCAAACACAACUUGCUCAGUCCUUGUGUUGUUGACGAAUCCGAAGGUCACUGGCAUGGUAAUCUUACCAAGUGCUACAAUCUGUCUCCCUCCGAAGCCACAAAGAGGGUGCGUAGCAUCAUGAAUCUUGUCUUCGGGCUCUUGCAUUUGUCUAAAGGCCUUAGCAAAUAUGAUAUCCGUUGCACUGCCUGUAUCAACCAAGACAUUGUGGACCAGAAAUCCUUUGAUCACACAAGAGAUAACCAUAGCAUCAUUAUGUGGGUAAUCCUUGAGCUGAAGAUCCUCUUGAGAGAAGAUAAUUGGGAUGUGAGACCAUCUUGACUUGAUGAAGGGUCCUUGUACCCCUACAUGUUGUACUCUUCUUUGCGCCUCCUUCUUCUGCUUCUUGUUAGCCGGCUCUGAGCAUGAACCACCUGUUAUCGGGAGAAUCAGCUUUGGAGCCGAAGCAGUUACAGCUUGGUUCUUGAACGAAGCCAUUAGCUCAAAAAGUGGAAGUGAGUUCAUCGGAGGUGGGCGCUAAUGUUGGGGACUUGUUCUCAAGUGCUAUGAAUUAGGAACAAGGCAACAUAGAAUGUCAGAUGUUAAAGCCCUUCGUCCGCUGAAGCAUUAUUUCCCCAAGGAUUUAAUGAACUUCGGACGAAGGUUGUGGAUAAUAUAUCACGAAGGUUGCACCUUCGUGAUCAAAGAUAAAACAAUGCAAAAUGAAAUAUAAAAUAUAAAAUAUAAAACGUUACAUAAUAGCAAGAAUAAAUAAAUUCAAUUAUUUUGUAAUGUGAACUUAGAUAUCAAAACAUAAUGUUUAGGCACAUUUGUACCUUCGCCUUGGCAGAAAAUAAUAAUUCCAGAGUAAUACGUCAGCAGUUACAAGAUUGCGUGAACAGGAAAGGAGUACUGUUCACCUAUUUAUAGGCACAGAACGCAGCCUGUAAGAAAUUACAAUCAUGCCCCUUACAGAAGAUCACAAUUAUAACUCAGACUCUUAUGGACUAAAAAGUAAUUCCAUCUUUAAGUUGGUUCGGUCCUUCGUCUUUAGACAUGCUAUAGUGUCGAAGCUUUAUGAGCGGUAGCUUCGGUAUCUCAUAUAAACAGAUUUGUCGAAGGUGUUUUCUUCCUCCAGGACCUUCGGCGACGAAGCAUGAUCCCAACAGGUUACAAGAACUCUAAAGGGUGUAGUGUAAUCAUUCGUAUUAAAUCUUAUAACUUUUAAGAUCUUUGAUGAUACCUCGAAACUAAAUCUCUUUGUAUUAAUGCUUUUGUAACACUGUUUUCUCCCGACAGCUUCUCAAACUAGCAGAUGACGAUUGCUUAGCCAUGCUGGAUCUUCUUCAAUCACUGCUUAUAGAUCAUUACUUUAGGUCUAGCUCAAGCAUAUGAAUUGGAUUUUGUGUGUCAGACCAGCACCUUUCUUUUUUGCUCUCAACUUAUUUUUUCUCGAAAACACGCAGGAGAACUGCGCCUCAUUAUAUUAAUAAGAAAAAGAAACCAGGGUCUAAAGGAAGACCUAAUAGAAAAGACCCCUUACGGGGCCAGAAACAUGCAUAUAGGAAGAAAUCCAUCUAGGAAAACAAAGGAAAAACCCACACACUGCCAGGGAAGUCCCUAUGGCUCAGCUAAGGGGGCUGCCAGGUAAGAAAUGCCUUUUGCCCUCGCUAUUUCCCAUCGAUGCAUCUCCUCAAGCAGGUAUUUCUUAUUCUAAAUUGUUGAGUUGGAGAAUAUUUUCCAAUCCAGUCAUUGCUGCAGUUACAUAUAUUUGGCUUGAAUGCUCUAAAUUAUUGACCUUGUUUUUCUUAUUCUAAAUUCUUUUAAAAUAUUGAUGCACACAGUUAGCUUCUUACUACUGAAGAAAUAUGUCUAUAGCAUGUAUUGAUUCAUUGUCCUUUUGUACAACUACUAAUAUAUCUACUUUGCCAUCCAAGCUCGGAGGUGAGAAGGUAGUUUAUGAUGCUACCAAGAAAAUCUUCUCAAGCUCCAGUGGUCUAGCCGAAGAUAUUCUAUUCUUAUUCACAGAUUGGUUGUCACUACUGGGAGAGAUUGUCAAUAUUGAAACAAUGGUACACACCUAAUUCUUUGUAUUCCUCUUGCAAUCAUCUGCUUUCCUCUGAAUUUGCUUGGGACUCAUGUUGGGUACUUGUGUUUUAACUAUAGCCUACCGCAACUUGCUUGAGACUAAAUUGCUUUGUUGUUGCUGUUGAAUCCUCUGCUACUCCAAGCUUCUUUGAUGUCGGGUGUAACGUUGUAACUGGCUAUCGUUGUUGGCCGAACAUUUGGCUAGCGUGGAUGAUAUAUAUUGCAAUGUGAAUCCAAUAAGCAGGAGAGUGAUCAAUGUAUGUAAUCGUUGUACACUAACAUUUGUCGAAUAUUUUGUAUAUCGUUUCAAGGCACCUAAAUAUUUUCUAAAGAUUUGUAUAAGUUUGUAGUUUUUGUGAUAUAUAGAAGUCCGUAUAGUACAGUGUAGUGUCGAAAUAGCUAGAUUAAAAUAACAAUUUAUAUAUGUCUAAAUCAUAAAUGGAUUACGAAACGUUUUCUCACAACAGUAUAACACACAUUUAUACAUACGUUAUUUUGAUAUUAUAUGUUUCCGUUGCAACGCACAGGCAUUCACCUAGUACCUCUAUAUUUAUAGAGGAGGGGCUGGACACGUUACAAACCAAUCUCUCGGGCUAAUCCCACGAAUUUAGCUAACAACCGUAGUAAGAAACUCGGAACCCUGAUUGGCUCUGCGCGCACGGGCCAUCUGCACCACCAGGGCGGACUGUCCAGUCUCAGGGCUGAACCGUCCGGUCUCAUUUUGGUGCUCAACACGUAGUACGCAAAAAGUUAACGAUAUUUUAUAAAUCAUAACUAAUAGAUUGAGCACCCUUGUAGAUCGACUGAAAAAGAAUAUUUAUUAUUUGAGAAAUUUUUGAAAUCACAAUCCAUAAAAAACACUAUUAUUAGGAGCAACUCUAACAGACUAAGUAUAAAUCCUAGCUAAAUUUAAAGUAUUGAAGGCUAUAAAAAUGAUAGAGGAGUUCAACCUAGGUGGAUGUAUCCAAUAGACUAGCUAAAAUAAAAACUAUAGAACGUUUUUGUCCUUCCUCGCAGGAGCAUCCAACAAUCGCGUUUGCCAGCAAUCAGCCUGCCAUCACGAGUGUGAGUGUGAAGACCGCGCCGGGCCAUGAGGUAUGCAAGCUGACGGUAGGAGUGAUCUGC